GAUGAACGCUGGUGGCGUGCUUAACACAUGCAAGUCGAACGGAAAGGCUCCUGCUUGCAGGGGUACUCGAGUGGCGAACGGGUGAGUAACACGUGGGUGAUCUGCCCUGCACUUCGGGAUAAGCUUGGGAAACUGGGUCUAAUACCGGAUAGGACCGCAUUUUGGAUGGUGUGGUGGAAAGUUUUUUCGGUGUGGGAUGAGCUCGCGGCCUAUCAGCUUGUUGGUGGGGUAAUGGCCUACCAAGGCGUCGACGGGUAGCCGGCCUGAGAGGGUGUACGGCCACAUUGGGACUGAGAUACGGCCCAGACUCCUACGGGAGGCAGCAGUGGGGAAUAUUGCACAAUGGGCGCAAGCCUGAUGCAGCGACGCCGCGUGGGGGAUGACGGCCUUCGGGUUGUAAACUCCUUUCGCUAGGGACGAAGAGUAAUUGACGGUACCUGGAGAAGAAGCACCGGCUAACUACGUG
This 466-nucleotide ribosomal RNA is filed under the name uncultured bacterium. Its description in RNAcentral is "partial 16S ribosomal RNA". It matches the Rfam family "Bacterial small subunit ribosomal RNA", at positions 28 to 507 of the family's 1533-position model. The record is from RNAcentral.